Molecule: long non-coding RNA, 265 nt
Organism: Thalassophryne amazonica
Lineage: Eukaryota; Metazoa; Chordata; Actinopteri; Batrachoidiformes; Batrachoididae
Exons: 3
Source: RefSeq, a predicted model, not a curated record
UCACCAAACAUCAGAAAAGUCUCCGGUAACGCCAGGAAAAGUAGCUAGAUUUGUCGCUAGUCGCUUUUGAGAAAAUAAGUCCUCAAGAGGGUUUGGAAAGUCAUCAGAUUUAGCGAAAAAGUCACUAAGUUGGCAAAACUGAAUGUAAACACAUGCAACAUGAACUCACCCGUGAACAAGCCCUGUACCGAACCGAAUGUCCCGUACCGAAACGGUUCAAUACAAAUACAUGUACCGUUACACCCUUAUAAGUGACAAAAGUGUG